This 352-nucleotide long non-coding RNA is filed under the name Cavia porcellus (domestic guinea pig). RNAcentral's name for it is "lncRNA (ENSCPOG00000037975.1)". Lineage: Eukaryota; Metazoa; Chordata; Mammalia; Rodentia; Caviidae. The record is from RNAcentral.
CUGCCUCUUGCCAGAGCAUCCUCAGCAGCUGCCACAGAAGCAGCCUCCUCCUCUCCUUCCUCCUCCUCCUCCCCUCGCUGCUGCCACCGUAGCUGCUGCCGCCUCAGCCGCUGCUCACUGCUUGCUGCUUCUAUUUCCUCUCCUCCUUCUUCCUCCCUCAGUCUCUGCUCCUCCUCCGGUUCCCAGUUCUUUCACGCCAGUGGCAGUGGCGGAGAGCAGAAUCCUCGGCGAGCAGCUUCCCUUCUCUCGGGCCACGAAGAGGCUGGAACAGAUGGAGAACACAUUUGAAAAGGAGAAUUACUGAGUUGGACAUUUCUAGAAAAGGCUCACAACAUACCCACUAACACUGCUA